This 427-nucleotide ribosomal RNA is filed under the name uncultured Pseudomonas sp. RNAcentral describes it as "bacterial SSU rRNA". It matches the Rfam family "Bacterial small subunit ribosomal RNA", at positions 353 to 772 of the family's 1533-position model. The record is from RNAcentral. Lineage: Bacteria; Pseudomonadati; Pseudomonadota; Gammaproteobacteria; Pseudomonadales; Pseudomonadaceae.
AGUGGGGAAUAUUGGACAAUGGGCGAAAGCCUGAUCCAGCCAUGCCGCGUGUGUGAAGAAGGUCUUCGGAUUGUAAAGCACUUUAAGUUGGGAGGAAGGGUGCUUACCUAAUACGUGAGUAUUUUGACGUUACCGACAGAAUAAGCACCGGCUAACUCUGUGCCAGCAGCCGCGGUAAUACAGAGGGUGCAAGCGUUAAUCGGAAUUACUGGGCGUAAAGCGCGCGUAGGUGGUUUGUUAAGUUGGAUGUGAAAUCCCCGGGCUCAACCUGGGAACUGCAUCCAAAACUGGCAAGCUAGAGUAUGGUAGAGGGUGGUGGAAUUUCCUGUGUAGCGGUGAAAUGCGUAGAUAUAGGAAGGAACACCAGUGGCGAAGGCGACCACCUGGACUGAUACUGACACUGAGGUGCGAAAGCGUGGGGAGCAAA